UAAUGGUGAUAAUGAUGAUGAUGAUGAUGAUGAUCAAUGAUGAUGGUGGUGAUGAUAAUGAUCAUGAUGAUCAUGAUCGUGAUGAUGAUCACGAUGG
Non-coding RNA from Paramuricea clavata, 97 nucleotides. The record is from the annotation of a GenBank genome assembly. NCBI's taxonomy places the organism in Eukaryota, Metazoa, Cnidaria, Anthozoa, Malacalcyonacea, Plexauridae.